RNAcentral lists this ribosomal RNA (449 nucleotides) under uncultured bacterium. RNAcentral's name for it is "partial 16S ribosomal RNA". It matches the Rfam family "Bacterial small subunit ribosomal RNA", at positions 29 to 523 of the family's 1533-position model. The record is from RNAcentral.
AACGAACGCUGGCGGCAUGCCUAACACAUGCAAGUCGAACGAGAUCUUCGGGUCUAGUGGCGCACGGGUGCGUAACGCGUGGGAAUCUGCCCUUUGGUUCGGAAUAACAGUUGGAAACGACUGCUAAUACCGGAUGAUGACGAAAGUCCAAAGAUUUAUCGCCAGAGGAUGAGCCCGCGUAGGAUUAGCUAGUUGGUGUGGUAAAGGCGCACCAAGGCGACGAUCCUUAGCUGGUCUGAGAGGAUGAUCAGCCACACUGGGACUGAGACACGGCCCAGACUCCUACGGGAGGCAGCAGUGGGGAAUAUUGGACAAUGGGCGAAAGCCUGAUCCAGCAAUGCCGCGUGAGUGAUGAAGACCUUAGGGUUGUAAAGCUCUUUUACCCGGGAUGAUAAUGACAGUGCCGGGAGAAUAAGCUCCGGCUAACUCCGUGCCAGCAGCCGCCGUAA